This 494-nucleotide ribosomal RNA is filed under the name uncultured bacterium. Its description in RNAcentral is "bacterial SSU rRNA". It matches the Rfam family "Bacterial small subunit ribosomal RNA", at positions 28 to 516 of the family's 1533-position model. The record is from RNAcentral.
AAUGAACGCUGGCGGCGUGCCUAACACAUGCAAGUCGAAUGUGCCGCAAGGUGCAUGGCAGACGGGUGAGUAACGCGUGGGCAAUCUACCUUUUCGUGGGGAAUAACGAUCCGAAAGGAUUGGUAAUACCGCAUGAGACCGACGGCUGGGAUGCUGUCGGUGAAACCUGGGGACCGCAAGGCCUGGGGCGAGAAGAGGAGCCUGCGUCUGAUUAGCUAGUUGGCGGGGUAGCGGCCCACCAAGGCUUCGAUCAGUAGCCGGCCUGAGAGGGUGAUCGGCCACACUGGAACUGAGACACGGUCCAGACUCCUACGGAGGCAGCAGUGGGGAAUUUUGCGCAAUGGACGAAAGUCUGACGCAGCAACGCCGCGUGGGUGAUGAAGGUCUUCGGAUUGUAAAACCCUGUCGUCGAGGACGAAGGUGGGGGCGUUAAGUAGCGCUUUGGCUUGACGGUACUCGGAGAGGAAGCCCCGGCUAACUCUGUGCCAGCAGCC